GAUGAACGCUGGCGGCGUGCCUAAUACAUGCAAGUCGAGCGAACAGACGAGGAGCUUGCUCCUCUGACGUUAGCGGCGAACGGGUGAGUAACACGUGGAUAACCUACCUCUAAGACUGGGAUAACUUCGGGAAACCGGAGCUAAUACCGGAUAAUAUAUUGAACCGCAUGGUUCAAUAGUGAAAGACGGUUUUGCUGUCACUUAUCGAUGGAUCCGCGCCGCAUUAGCUAGUUGGUAAGGUAACGGCCUACCAAGGCAACGAUCGGUAGCCGACCUGAGAGAGUGAUCGGCCACACUGGAGGUGAGACACGGUCCAGACUCCUACGGGAGGCAGCAGUAGGGAAUCUGCCGCAAUGGGCGAAAGCUUGACGGAGCAACGCCGCGUGAGUGAUGAAGGUCUUCGGAUCGUAAAACUCUGUUAUGAGGGAAGAACAAAUGUGUAAGUAACUAUGCACGUAUUGACGGUACCUAAUCAGAAAGCCACGGCUAACUACGUG
RNAcentral lists this ribosomal RNA (497 nucleotides) under uncultured bacterium. RNAcentral describes it as "partial 16S ribosomal RNA". It matches the Rfam family "Bacterial small subunit ribosomal RNA", at positions 28 to 507 of the family's 1533-position model. The record is from RNAcentral.